UUAAAAUAAUCAAAAGAAAUAUUUAAUCAGAGCCAGCAACAGCGUCAAGGUACGAAAAUCAUUAAAAUAAUAAAAAAUAUAUGUAAUCAGAGCCAGCAACAGCGUCAAGGUACGAAAAUAAUUAAAAUAAUCAAAAAAAUAUAUGUAAUCAGAGCCAGCAACAGCGUCAAGGUACGAAAAUAAUUAAAAUAAUCAAAAAAAUAUAUG
Molecule: long non-coding RNA, 207 nt
Organism: Thalassophryne amazonica
Lineage: Eukaryota; Metazoa; Chordata; Actinopteri; Batrachoidiformes; Batrachoididae
Exons: 2
Source: RefSeq, a predicted model, not a curated record